This 460-nucleotide ribosomal RNA is filed under the name uncultured bacterium. RNAcentral describes it as "partial 16S ribosomal RNA". It matches the Rfam family "Bacterial small subunit ribosomal RNA", at positions 338 to 795 of the family's 1533-position model. The record is from RNAcentral.
CCUACGGGUGGCAGCAGUGAGGAAUAUUGGUCAAUGGACGAAAGUCUGAACCAGCCAUGCCGCGUGCAGGAAGACGGCGCUAUGAGUUGCAAACUGCUUUUGUACAAGGGUAAACCUGAAUACGUGUAUUCAGCUGACAGUACUGUACGAAUAAGGAUCGGCUAACUCCGUGCCAGCAGCCGCGGUAAUACGGAGGAUCCAAGCGUUAUCCGGAUUUAUUGGGUUUAAAGGGUGCGUAGGCGGAUUGAUAAGUUAGAGGUUAAAUGGCCGGGCUCAACGCGGGAACUGCCUCUGAUACUGGUGGUCUAGAGAGUGGAUGCGGUAGGCGGAAUGUGGGGUGUAGCGGUGAAAUGCUUAGAGAUCAUACAGAACACCGAUUGCGAAGGCAGCUUGCCAAUCUAUAUCUGACGUUGAGGCACGAAAGCGUGGGGAGCAAACAGGAUUAGAUACCCUGGUAGUC